AUGAAAUUUCAAUGGCCGCAGUACCCUGACUGUGCUAAGGUAGCGUAAUCAGUUGGCUUUUAAAUGAAGUCGAGAAUGAAUGGGUUUUCGGGAAUGAGCUGUCUCCUUUUGUAUUAAUGAAAUUAUUUAGAAGGUGAAAAUCCCUUUAGUUAGAAAAAAGACGAGAAGACCCCUAGAGCUUUGAUAAACCCACAUUUUUGUGACUUUUUUUUGCUGGGGCGGCAAGGAGUACAAUUAACUCUCCUAUGAAGAUCUGAAGACGAAAAUUUUAAGAAUCAAUAAGCUACCUUGGGGAUAACAGCAUAAUUAAUUUUUAGUUUGUGACCUCGAUGUUGGACUAGGGAUAAUUUUUGGCUAGAAGCCAAAAGUAUUGUUCUGUUCGAACUCU
This 388-nucleotide ribosomal RNA is filed under the name Paromoionchis daemelii. Its description in RNAcentral is "partial 16S ribosomal RNA". It matches the Rfam family "Bacterial large subunit ribosomal RNA", at positions 1912 to 2589 of the family's 2925-position model. Lineage: Eukaryota; Metazoa; Mollusca; Gastropoda; Systellommatophora; Onchidiidae. The record is from RNAcentral.